This 503-nucleotide ribosomal RNA is filed under the name uncultured bacterium. RNAcentral describes it as "partial 16S ribosomal RNA". It matches the Rfam family "Bacterial small subunit ribosomal RNA", at positions 28 to 507 of the family's 1533-position model. The record is from RNAcentral.
GACGAACGCUGGCGGCGUGCUUAACACAUGCAAGUCGAACGGUGAAGCGCUUUCCUUUUUGGUUGGUGUGGAUGAGUGGCGAACGGGUGAGUAACACGUGAGUAACCUGCCCCCUUCUUCUGGAUAACCGCAUGAAGGUGUGGCUAAUACGGGAUAUUCUGCGCCUGCUGCAUGGUGGGUGUGGGAAAGAUUGUGCCUUUGGGUGUUUUCGGUGGGGGAUGGGCUCGCGGCCUAUCAGCUUGUUGGUGGGGUGAUGGCCUACCAAGGCGGUGACGGGUAGCCGGCCUGAGAGGGUGGACGGUCACACUGGGACUGAGACACGGCCCAGACUCCUACGGGAGGCAGCAGUGGGGAAUAUUGCACAAUGGGCGCAAGCCUGAUGCAGCGACGCCGCGUGAGGGAUGGAGGCCUUCGGGUUGUGAACCUCUUUCGCCAGUGAAGCAGGCCUGCUCCUUGUGGGUGGGUUGACGGUAGCUGGAUAAGAAGCGCCGGCUAACUACGUG